UGGUUCUGGCAUCGAUGAAGAACGCAGCGAAAUGCGAUAAGUAAUGUGAAUUGCAGAAUUCAGUGAAUCAUCGAAUCUUUGAACGCACAUUGCGCCCAUUAGUAUUCUAGUGGGCAUGCCUGUUCGAGCGUCAUUUCAACCCUUAAUGUCACAUGUUAGUGUAAACACUAUUCAAACAUUUCCCUUGGGAAUCUACUUAAUAUGGGGGGGCCUUAAGUCACUAGGUCUUCCUCUGUAGUUCCUAAAAUAUCGCGCGGGACUGCCGUCUCUUCUAAACGUAGUAAAAUCUUUAUCUCGUUUCGUAAGGUAAGACGCAUAGUUCUUGAUGUGACGACUAUUUUUUUAUUGGUUGACCUCGGAUCAGGUAGGAAUACCCGCUGA
Molecule: unclassified non-coding RNA, 381 nt
Filed under: uncultured fungus
Lineage: Eukaryota; Fungi
Description: partial contains 5.8S ribosomal RNA and internal transcribed spacer 2
Rfam family: 5.8S ribosomal RNA (bases 1-133)
Source: RNAcentral